Molecule: ribosomal RNA, 497 nt
Filed under: uncultured bacterium
Lineage: Bacteria
Description: partial 16S ribosomal RNA
Rfam family: Bacterial small subunit ribosomal RNA
Source: RNAcentral
GACGAACGCUGGCGGCGUGCCUAAUACAUGCAAGUUGAGCGAUGAAGAUUGGUGCUUGCCCCAAUUUGAAGAGCAGCGAACGGGUGAGUAACGCGUGGGGAAUCUGCCUUUGAGCGGGGGACAACAUUUGGAAACGAAUGCUGAUACCGCAUAAUAACUUUAAACAUAAGUUUUAAGUUUGAAAGAUGCAAUUGCGUCACUCAAAGAUGAUCCCGCGUUGUAUUAGCUAGUUGGCGAGGUAAAGGCUCACCAAGGCGAUGAUACAUAGCCGACCUGAGAGGGUGAUCGGCCACAUUGGGACUGAGACACGGCCCAAACUCCUACGGGAGGCAGCAGUAGGGAAUCUUCGGCAAUGGACGAAAGUCUGACCGAGCAACGCCGCGUGAGUGAAGAAGGUUUUCGGAUCGUAAAACUCUGUUGGUAGAGAAGAACGUUGGUGAGAGUGGAAAGCUCAUCAAGUGACGGUAACUACCCAGAAAGGGACGGCUAACUACGUG